UCCACGCUCAGCACGGAGUCCGAUGCGGGGCUCAAUCCCAUGCCCCUGGGACCAGGACCUGAGCUGAAAUCAAGAGUCGGACACUCAGCUGACCAAGCUGCGCCCAGAAGCCACAACAGUCCUUUCAAACAACCAACUUCUGCCUGUGUAAUUCUCUCGACAGCCUCCACUCCCACUGGUUUUGAUACUUUCGGGCGUGUUACUUGCCCCCUUCUGCUGCUGUUCUUAUGAAGCCAGAGGCCCAGCUAGCCGACUCCUAGCUCGCCCGCUGGCGUCCCCACUGCUGGCUGCAGUGGCUCCCAGAGGUUCUGGCAGGUCCUGUUUCAGCGUCCUGGAGGCUGGAGGACUUUAUAACUUUCAUUAUGUAUUUUUUUUCUUUUGAGUCAGGUUAUUGAGAGGGUUUUUUCCCUAGGAUAUGAGUGUCGUUUGAACAACAACAGAAAAACCAUCAAGGCAGAGAUUAAUCUGGGAGAUCUGCCUCUGGGGCCUGGCGGCGGUGUGAUACCACGGUGGCGAACGCAGAAGAAACAGCCCAUCUGCCUCGCCAGAGCACCAGGAGGCAAAAGUGGCCACUAACCGAGCUGAUGCUGUUGAAAUCAGCCGCGGUCCUACCGGGAGGGGCCCCAAGGGCCAGCGGCACAGGCACCGCUCACGCAUGGGAGCUAACAUCCACCUCGCUAAGAACACAACACGUGACGGGAAGCUCUACACCCAACGUGGGGCUGAACUCAGGACCCCGAGAUGGAGAGUUGCACAAUCUACCAUCUACCGCCUGAGCCAGCCAGGCGCGCUAAGGGCUGACGUUCUUACAACAGUUAGGGGGCGCCGGCCCUGCGCUCGGGA
Molecule: long non-coding RNA, 843 nt
Organism: Leopardus geoffroyi (Geoffroy's cat)
Lineage: Eukaryota; Metazoa; Chordata; Mammalia; Carnivora; Felidae
Exons: 2
Source: RefSeq, a predicted model, not a curated record